RNAcentral lists this long non-coding RNA (932 nucleotides) under Pan troglodytes (chimpanzee). RNAcentral describes it as "lincRNA". Lineage: Eukaryota; Metazoa; Chordata; Mammalia; Primates; Hominidae. The record is from RNAcentral.
GUCGCUGGUCAGACCUCAUGACUCACUUGGACUCUUGAGCCACCUCUGGGGGUGGAGUCUCUCUCCUGGCAUCUGGACCCUUGGUGCUAUCGACGAAGCUUGGCUGGCGCUCUUAGCUGCUAUGUGCAAGACGUGUGUCCCAGGGAAAGCCCCUCUCUCUCUGCAGAGGUCAAGUGAAAGCCACGGCCGCAGCCAACAGAGUUCAAAAUGCAGGCUUGGAAAGUCCAGGGGGCUCUGUGGAGGAUGGGAAGGACUGAUCCACAUUCCUACCAGGAAGUUUAACGGAACCCCCGCGUGCCACCUGGACCCCCUGGAAGGACCUGGCUAAGGCUGGACCACCUCUUGAGAGGCAGGAGCUCCGGAUUUGAUCAAGAAUUCUUUGCUGAGCAUGGUGCCUCAUGCCUAUAAUCCCAACACUUUGGGAGGCCAAUGUGGGAGGAUCUCUUGAGCCCAGGAGUUCAAGACUAGCCUGGGCAACACAGAGAGACCCCAUCUCUAAAAAAAUAAUAAUAAUAAAAUAAAAAAUUAGCAGGGCAUGGUGGCAUGUGCCUGUAGUCCCAGCUACCCAGGAGGCUGAGGCAAGAGGAUGGCUGGAGCCUGGGAUGUUGAGGCUGCAAUGAACUGUGAUUACCCCACUGCACUCCAGCCUGGGCAAAAGAGCGAGAGACCCUGUCUCAAAUAAUAAUAAUACUAAUCAUCAUCAUCAUCAUCAUCAUCAUCAUCUUAUUUUGGAGAAUAAAGAGACCUCUGGAUUUGAGGUGCCAUUUGGGUAGAAAGAAAAGACCUUUACACCGAGAAAUAGUCUGUGUUGACCUGAAGGAGCAGAGGAAUGCAUCGCUGGAGGUGACCUACAGUUGAAGAAGACUCAUUAUGACAGACCUUGUCCUUCUUCCUUGUGGAAAGUGUUUCCUCUGCUGCUACUGCUCAUGAGA